Molecule: ribosomal RNA, 331 nt
Filed under: Yarrowia deformans
Lineage: Eukaryota; Fungi; Ascomycota; Dipodascomycetes; Dipodascales
Description: partial 26S ribosomal RNA
Rfam family: Eukaryotic large subunit ribosomal RNA
Source: RNAcentral
UAGUAACGGCGAGUGAAGCGGCAAAAGCUCAAAUUUGAAACCCUCGGGAAUUGUAAUUUGAAGAUUUGGCAUUGGAGAAAGCUAACCCAAGUUACUUGGAAUAGUACGUCAUAGAGGGUGACAACCCCGUCUGGCUAACCGUUCUCCAUGUAUUGCCUUAUCAAAGAGUCGAGUUGUUUGGGAAUGCAGCUCAAAGUGGGUGGUAAACUCCAUCUAAAGCUAAAUACUGGUGAGAGACCGAUAGCGAACAAGUACUGUGAAGGAAAGGUGAAAAGAACUUUGAAAAGAGAGUGAAAUAGUAUGUGAAAAUUGUUGAUAGGGAAGGAAAUGA